AUUAUAAAUAAAAUUAGGGCUGAGAACAAAUAAUUAAAUCAGAAAUAGCAGGUGAUUAAGAUGAAAUAAUUACAUCAAAUAAUUGCGUCUUUAGGAGGGUAUUAAACAAGAAAAGUAAUGUUGAUGGUUUAGAGAUUUGAAUCAAAUGAUUAGAAGAAAA
This 160-nucleotide unclassified non-coding RNA is filed under the name Moritella viscosa. RNAcentral's name for it is "putative sRNA". Lineage: Bacteria; Pseudomonadati; Pseudomonadota; Gammaproteobacteria; Alteromonadales; Moritellaceae. The record is from RNAcentral.